CUCGUAGUUGGAUUUCUGGUAUGAUACGCCUGACCCGUGUUUUUUUAAAUGUGUGUGUCGGUGCGAGUCUGCCAUCUUUGUCAGUGAAUGCUGUUCUACUCUUUAUUGAGCAUGGACUUCACAAGCUGAAUCGAUUACUUUGAAAAAAUGAGAGUGUUUAAAGCAGGCGCAUGUUGUGGAUCUACUAGCAUGGAAUAAUAUCAUAGGACUUCGGUUCUAUUUUGUUGGUUUAUUGAAUCGAUGUAAUGAUUGAUAGGGAUAGUUGGGGGUGCUAGUAUUCAGUGGCCAGAGGUGAAAUUCUUGGAUUCACUGAAGACUGCCUUCUGCGAAAGCAUUCACCAAGGAUAUCUUCUUUAAUCAAGAACGAAAGUUGGGGGAUCGAAGACGAUCAGAUACCGUCGUAGUCCCAACCAUAAACGAUGCCAGCUGGGGAUUGGUAGACGUUGCCAAACAGCUCGACCCAACCAGAACCCGAAGAGAAAUCGUAAGCUUUUAGGUUCCGGGGGGAGUAUGGCCGCAAGACUGAAACUUAAAGGAAUUGACGGAAGGGCACCACCAGGAGUGGAGCCUGCGGCUUAAUUUGACUCAACACGGGAAAACUUACCAGGUCCAGACGUAGUGAGGAUUGACAGAUGGAAGAUCUUUCUUGAUUCUACGGGUGGUGGUGCAUGGCCGUUCUUAGUUGGUGGAGUAAUUUGUCUGGUUAAUUCCGUUAACGAACGAGACCUUGACCUGCUAAAUAGUUCGGAGAAUCCUUCGGGAUUCGUCACAGUUGGCUUCUUAGAGGGACUACCGGUGUUUUAAACAUCCGGKGGAAGUUUCAAGGCAAUAACAGGUCUGUGAUGCCCUUARAUGUUCUGGGCCGCACGCGCGCUACAUGAUCAGCACAAUUGUUUAUUCCC
Molecule: ribosomal RNA, 902 nt
Filed under: Protocystis tridens
Lineage: Eukaryota; Cercozoa; Thecofilosea; Phaeogromida; Challengeriidae
Description: SSU rRNA
Rfam family: Eukaryotic small subunit ribosomal RNA
Source: RNAcentral